CUACCUUCACCAUUUACCCCUGAUAAAUUGUCCACGUUUAUAUUUGGGAAUCAUAUUGACAGGUCAUGAAAAUGAGACCAAAAGAUCUCUGGAAGCGAUUAAUGAUAAAAUUUCAUGGAGAAGAAGGCCUUGACUACGGAGGGGUUGCCAGGUUCAUGUUGCUGAGGAGGCAGAGGGCUGAGUUCUUCCAUCCAUCGCCUUCAAGUGUCAGGCGGCUUCCGGUUGGACAAGAUGGCUACCCCAGUGGGCUUGUUUCCUCUCUGGUCUCUUUUUCUGUCUAAGACUCACUCCAUACCAGCCUGAGCUUGGGACCAUUGUUUUGC
This 323-nucleotide long non-coding RNA is filed under the name Pan troglodytes (chimpanzee). RNAcentral's name for it is "long non-coding RNA NONPTRT006904". Lineage: Eukaryota; Metazoa; Chordata; Mammalia; Primates; Hominidae. The record is from RNAcentral.